GCCAGGCCGACUGAGGUUCGCUCUCGGCCGGCGUACGCGCCGGCCCGCAAUACCGCCGUCCAGGACUGUCCACCUGGCUGGCGUGCCGUGUUCCCUUGCUGCCGGGUCGUCGCGACCCGGCAGGUUUUUGCGACUGUGUCAGCCGCAUCGAUCAAGUGUUGCGGUACUGAAAUGCUGUGACCGCUUUAUUAAAACCGCGCCAACCGCGUGAUAUUCUUGUGAUCUGUUCAGUUCCGGUGUGAACAGAUGUUCUCAGACUCUCUGCCAUGACCCAGCAACGCACCCUCAAGAACACGAUUCGCGCCACCGGCGUGGGCCUGCACAGUGGCAACAAGGUGU
Molecule: small RNA, 339 nt
Filed under: Xanthomonas albilineans GPE PC73
Lineage: Bacteria; Pseudomonadati; Pseudomonadota; Gammaproteobacteria; Lysobacterales; Lysobacteraceae
Description: Proteobacterial sRNA Xoo8
Rfam family: Proteobacterial sRNA Xoo8
Source: Rfam by way of RNAcentral